This 200-nucleotide microRNA precursor is filed under the name Lolium arundinaceum. Its description in RNAcentral is "Festuca arundinacea miR159 stem-loop (far-MIR159)". Its record names the gene far-MIR159. It matches the Rfam family "MIR159 microRNA precursor family". Lineage: Eukaryota; Viridiplantae; Streptophyta; Magnoliopsida; Poales; Poaceae. The record is from miRBase by way of RNAcentral.
GUUUGGUUUUGAGGUGGAGCUCCUAUCAUUCCAAUGAAAGGUCUUGCUAGGAGGGGUGGUACAGCUGCUCGUUCAUGGUUCCCACUAUCCUACCUCCGUUUGAAACCAGGGAGAUAGGCCUGUGGCUAGCAUGACCGAGGAGCCGCAUCGUCCCCUCGCUGGCCGCUCUUUGGAUUGAAGGGAGCUCUGCAUCUUGGCCU